Molecule: long non-coding RNA, 4974 nt
Filed under: Daucus carota (carrot)
Lineage: Eukaryota; Viridiplantae; Streptophyta; Magnoliopsida; Apiales; Apiaceae
Description: long non-coding RNA (DCAR_LNC003687)
Source: RNAcentral
CUCGCUAUCACUCCCCUUCUCCCUGUCAGAUAAUUGUGUGCAUGUAACGGGGGUCAAGUGUCUACCUCUAUCGGCUUGAUAUGUUGUGUGUGUGUCUGUAUGUGCGCUUGAAGAGUUACACCAGGAGAUACUUUCACCAGAAUCCAGAUAUUCACCUUAUAUGUGACAACUUAACAUGGCAUGAUCCUGCUAGCCUCCUAACUUGUAAAUGAAAAAUAAUAUUAAUAAAAUAUCGCCCCCAAAAGAUGUACUUAAGUUCUCAUCCUCGAGUACACUGUGCACAUGCCAGGAGCAACUCUGGACAUGGAAACGAAUUGUAAAGUAAAGCAAAAACACUCUCAUUGAGUUGAAACAUUUUGUUUGAUAACAGUGUACACUGAAUAGGAUGAUGGUCCAUAAUCCUAUUAAUGAUGGUUAGAGCAUCUGCUACAGUUUUGGCUAAAUUAGAAAUGCAAGAUAUUGUGCAAAUUUGUUGAAUCUCUAAGAGAUUUUGUUUGGAUGAUACAAUCUAUAUUGACUAUAUUUUGAAAAUGAUAUGAUAUUAUUAUUUUGAAUUAUUAUAAAUAGAAAAUAUUAGUUUAAUAUGGUAUUAUGGUAAUAUAUGAUGUGAAUCUUGCUAAAGGUAUGAUUAUAUAUGAUAUGAAAUCUUGCUACAUGUAGGCUGAUCAAAUAUGAUCAAAUAUAAACAACAUUAGUUAUUCACUAUUAUAUUAUAUCCUUAAUCCUUAUAGAUAAAAAGCGUAUAUAGGAUAAUUUGGUUGUUUGGUGUAGAACCCUAAAAUAAUAUUCCUUUUAUAUUCUAAACAAAACAAAUAGAGAUUUUGUAAAAAACAAACGGAAGCAAAUUUUAUAAUUAAAAUAUGACUUCUAUUUCUUAUAUGUCUAAAUACUGCAAUAUAAAUACGAACCGUUAGAUCUUAUUUUUGAUAAACAGUUAAGAUUACAAAAUAAAUAAAGAUAAUUCUGUAUAAUAUUUAAAUAUAAUAUAUAAUUUAUACUUUUGAUGUUCAAAAUCAAUUAGAAGUGGUUCUUGUAAUUAAAUAUAAUAUGUCCCCUAUUCUUUUUAUGUUCGAAACAAAAUAGAAAGAGGUUUUAUAAAAAUAAAAUACAAGUAGGUUUUUUAAUCAUAAUACGAUUUUUAUUCUUUUUAUGUUCUAAAACCCAAUAAAAAGAGGUUUUGUAAAUAGAAUAUGACUAUUAUUAUAAAAUCCAUAACUACUUUUACUACUUCCUAUUUUAUGUUCUCAUCAAAUAUAGUUGUUAAAUCAUUGCUAAAUCUUUUAUUUUACUAAAAUGAUAAUCUGGAUUUAAAAAUUAUAAACUAGCAUAUAAAAUAUUGGUAACAUAAUUUAUAAAGUAAAUCAUUAUUAUAAUACAUCUACUAUAUCAAUAAAAAUAUUUUUAAAAAUAUUUGUACAUCAUAUAAAAUUAUUUAAAUAAAUUUAUAUUUUCAGAAAAUAUUUGUGCAUGACACGAAUUAUAAGCUAUCUAUACUAUACAAUAAUUAGCAAACACGGGUAUAAUUUGUAAUACUAAAUUUUUGUUAUGUUUUUAUUGUCUAGUCAUGUUUUUUUAGUCAUUCCUAAAUUAUCAUGGCUUGAAAAUGAAAAAGGGAAAAAAUCCAACACUUAAAUACCAGUGGAGCCUCUAGAGGUCACUUACUUUCAGAUGAUUAAAUAGUUCGAAAGACUAGAGGUCAAAUUAUUACUAUAUUGUAACUGAAGUGGUUUCAGUGUUUUUGUUCUAGGUUAAAACUGAAGUGGUGGUAGUGGAUGGUAUUUACAGUGAAUUUAAAUUUACUUGAAUCAAGAUUGUAUGUAUAUCAUGUACUCCUUCCGUCCCAUUAGAUUGUAUACAGUUUCUUUUUUGGGACGUCCCAUCAAUUGUAUACAUACAAAAAAUGGUAAACUUUUAUAAUAUAAAAAACUUAACAACACCCACUACCUUCUUCCACUACACCCACUUUAUACAUUAAAUAUUAGUAGGUCCCACCAUUUUACUAACACUACACUCAUUUUACACAUUAAAUAUUAAUGGGUCCCACCAUUUCACCCACUUUUCUUACUUUUCAUCACCAAAUUACACUUUUUCUUAACCUCCGUGCCACUCCCCAUACGUAUACUAGUCAAUGGGAUGGAGGGAGUAUGUGCUUAGAGAUAACAUGAAGGUUGGUAAUGUUGGAGGGGAAGUGUUGAUUUUGUUACACGUAGAUAUACAUGCAAAUGUGUCGACGUGUUGAUGGAGUAACUCAAAUCAGAGUGUUGAUGCAAUAACUCAAUUUUUUGUCUUUGAUUUUGUGGAUAUUCAAGGUGUUGUGAAUAUCUUCCUUGAAUUUCUAAUGACAGGAGAUUUAGGUGGAAAAUGGUACUCCCUCCAUCUCAUUUUAAGUGUCCAUUUUGCAAAUUUCACACAUAUUAAAAAACAAUUAAUGUAAAUGUUUUGAUCAUUAUCUUCCACAACUAACCAGCUUAGUUUUCAUACAUAAUAAUUAUGCACCUCAUUAAUUACUCUGUAUUUGGACCUUUUUUCACUUCAAAUUACAUUUAUUACAUUCAUAAUCCCUCUAAAUACAUUUAUGAUUCUAUAUUGGAAAUAGUAUAAAAUUUACAUGGAUUAAAGAGUAUGACACAUAGGGGCCAUUUGGGUGAGCUUAAAAUGAGUGCUUCUUGCUUAAAAUUAAAAAGUGGAGUAGAAGUUAGAAGCAAGUUAAGACUUAUAAGUAAUUAAAGUGUUUGGAAAAUAAGCAGAAGCCCUGAAACAAAAGCUAGCAUUCCUAACUUUUUAUAAGUGCUUCUCGACUUUUUAAACAUACGGUACGAAAUAAGUGCUUCUAACUUAUAAACCAGAAGCCCGGCUUUUAAGCCGAAAACAAACACCCCCAUAUUUUGGGAUUUUUUCUUUUGGCAAAGUGGACACUGAAAAUGAGAUGGAGGGAGUACAAGACAAAUCUACAUGCAUAUGCUCCCAAGUCCCAAUUCUGUUCUGAUUAUACUUUAUCUCUACAUCUCUGAACUUUACAGUUGUUCUAGCAGAAAUUUGUACUAUCCCAAUUCUUUUCUUCAUUCCAUUCUUACCAAUUUUAAUUUUAACUCAGCUCACCAAUUUUAAGAUACCUACUAAUAUAUUUUUCACAAACCUCGUUACAAAAUAUAAGUAUCAUUUCAUUUAUAAAAAAAAUCUCACCCUUCACCUCUGCCAACAUCCAUUUGACCGCAUAAGUUGGUCCAUAUUAUAUCAUCCCCAUUCGUUCUAUAAGGCAUAAAGGAGGUCUAGUGAGAGUUUUCUCUAAAUAACAGAUCAUGCCAAAAAGCAAAGUGUUUUCGAGGGUUAAGCCCUUUCUUGCAGUUCUGUUUUUGCAGUUUGGGCUAGCGGGGAUGGAUGUUAUUUCCAAAGUUGCACUCGAUCAAAUGAUGAGCACCUAUGUGUUUGUCGUGUAUUACCACGCUAUUGCCACUAUUCUUACUGCUCCCUUGGCAAUCAUCCUCGAGAAGUCUCUUUUGCACUCUUUCUCUUUGUUUCAUUACUUAUUUAAAGGUGAAAUAAUUAUAUUGAUCUUUGUACAGAAAAGUGAGGCCAAAGAUGACAAAAGCAAUGUUUGGAAAGUUUAUUCUUCUUGCCUUACUAGAGUAUGUUGAUACUAAUAACAUCCUAUAUACUUGGAAUUUGUGAAUCUUCAUGUGAAAAGUCCAACUCAAUAUUUUGCAGACCAGUUAUUGACCAGAAUCUCUAUAUGAUGGGGAUGAAAAACACGAGUGCCACGUUUGCAGCUGCUCUAUGUAACAUUUUACCUGCCAUAACAUUUGUCAUGGCAUGGAUUUUUGGGUAAACAAUUAUUAAUACUUUCUACCUACUUUGGUUGUCCAAACAAAUCGAUGAGUCCUUGAUAGAGAAAGUUUAAUGUCGAGUAGAAAUCCUACAUCUACCUGUGGGUAGACAUUUAGUAGAAAUCUAUUUCAAUACAUAUAUCUGGUUUCUGGCAGGCUUGAGAAGGUUAAGUUGAAGAGUAUCAGAAGCCAAGCUAAAAUAGGCGGCACACUGACUACUAUCGGAGGAGCCAUGCUCAUGACGUUUGUCAAAGGACCAGUUAUUCAUCUAAUGUGUACAGAAGGAAGAACCAAUCCUGUUCAACGAAGUAAUGGAGUAGGUUAUCAACAUUCACUAAGGGGUUCUCUUAUGAUAACUGCUUCAUGCUUCAGUUGGGCUUGUUUUAUGGUUCUACAAGUGAGAAUUUACAUAUCUUCUGUAAUUAAAUUUUGCCAAAUCUGCUAUGAAAAACCUUAUUUUUCCCUCUAUCAGGCAAAUACACUAGAGACAUAUCCUGCUGAGCUCUCUUUAACAGCUUGGAUAUGCCUGAUGGGCACCGUGGAGGGGGCCGUACUUGCCCUUGUAAUGGAGAGGGGAAAUGCUGCUGUUUGGUCCCUCAAUUUCGACGCUAAACUACUAGCAGCUGUCUACAGCGUAAGGACUUCUAUAAAAAGUAUUUGUACAGAUUAUCAGUUAUCUACUUGUGCUAAGGUCUUACCCAGGGCCCAAGAUUCCUAGACCAGCAAGAUUUGGGGAAGGUACUAACUUUAAUUACCUGCACUAAUUUAAUUAUAUCUUACAAUUUGUUCAAUAAAAUAUGCAGGGCAUAAUUUGUUCAGGACUCGCUUAUUAUGUUCAAGGAAUUGCAAUGAAAGACAGAGGACCUGUUUUUGUAACGGCUUUCAAUCCACUGGGCAUGAUCCUUGUCGCCGUCUUAGGAUCCUUCAUCUUAGCAGAACAAAUACACCUGGGAGGGUAGAUACCAGACUCACUUUUCAAUCAUAUAUAGACACAAACCUCCAAAAAAAAGGAGUCUUGAGCUUAAAUUAAAUUAAGAAGAGCUUAAAUAAUAUUUAUACCUUUGUCUGCAGGGUCAUCGGAGCCUUUGUGAUAGCUGUAGGAGUUUACCUUGUUGUGUGGGGUAAGAGCAAAGAUUACAAGCCCCGGGAC